RNAcentral lists this long non-coding RNA (1478 nucleotides) under Felis catus (domestic cat). RNAcentral's name for it is "lncRNA (ENSFCAG00000045466.2)". The record is from RNAcentral. Lineage: Eukaryota; Metazoa; Chordata; Mammalia; Carnivora; Felidae.
CAUCCAGCAAGCUCCUGGGAGAGAGGGAAGAGAAGGGGAGGAGAGAGAAGGGGAUUUCUGGAUUCUUCCUGAACAUUCGUGACCACCCUGGGCAGCAGCCUGACAGAUAAGUAUUCCAACUUACAGUGCCGUCCUCCCCCCCCCCACUGCCCCCCCCCCCCCCCCGCCCUCUCUAGGUCCGUGCACGAAAGCAUAGAAUCUCUCACAAUCCUGUGGGAGGGAAAUUGGCGAGGCCACUUUUCAACCCCUCCGCGUCACAGACCAAGCCCUUGUCCCCAUUAUAUGGGGCCCCAGACAGGGGCGUUCCCACUCCGCUUUUUGGCACGGAAGCCAGCAUUUUGUCAGUUCCGCCGUGAGGACCUUCUGUAGGCUGGAGUUUGGCGACCUCCUCUUGAGUCCCCUUUGACCUGGUGUCAGGAGUGAGAAGGAGACUGGGGACUCCAGGCGGCUCUUCUCAGUUCCGGCCCUUUGUCAUCAUAUUUGUGAGACUUGGCCAGGGCCCCCUUUACCUGGCAGUUGGGCGGGGAGGCCGACACUGUGAUGAUGGGCCACGUUCUCCUCUCCGGGUCUGGACCCGUGUCCUGAGUCUCAGGUGCCUGUAGAGAGCGCUGGGCGCACACUGAGCGGUCCCCUGACUCUCCCGGCACGGGUCUGCCAGCUGAUGAAGAUAGCUUAACUGUCACCAGGAGCAAAACCCGGGACAUGAUUCUGGGUCAGGGUUAGCAGGCUGACGGGGACAGAUGGGGGCAGAAAAAUAACUGAGGGUGAGCUGUAGCCCCCUCCCCCCCCAUUUCCUGUCCACUGCCUCAAACUGUGGGUUAGUAUUGUGCACUCUGGGUGAACGCAGGGCUGGAAGGAUCCCAAGGCUCAGAGAGAGAGAGAGAGAGAGAGAGAGAGAGAGCGGGGGCAGGCUUCCCAUGGCUACACAAGAUGGCAGAGCUGAAUCCGACCUCUGGAUCCCUGACUCUGGUCCCUGCCUCCACUCGGCUGUUGCCAAGCUGACCUUGCCUUACUUUGUCCUGGGUCCCCUUCUGCUGUUGCUGGGGAACAGGGAGGUGGGUGAAGGAGCCCCCCCUUAUCCUGAGGACAUUCUGGGGUGGGAGCAAGGAAGGUGGAAGGGGGAUGUGCCUGGACCCAGCCUCCCUGGCUCUGGGGGCCUUCUCGUUAGCAGAGAUUUCUGGCCAGUUCGGGCGUGGGGAGGGGGCCUGGGUGCAGUUUCCUCCUGCAGCGUGGUGGGCUUUUUUGUCUUCCAGGAUGGGAUCUACACGGAGAAGGAGCGGAGAGCUGGGCCUGGGCUGCCAACAUGUUGUCUGGGUGCAGACAGGUGGCUCAGCCCGGCCCCAUCUCCAGGACUCCUGCCUGGUCUUCCCUUUGGAGCCCUGGUGACUCUGGACUCUGGCCACAGUGACGCAGGGAGCAGCCUUUGGUGGUUUUCUCGGACUCUGGACAAGUCCCCAAAGCCGUCAUCCUUCCACUGA